Molecule: small nuclear RNA, 164 nt
Organism: Echinops telfairi (small Madagascar hedgehog)
Lineage: Eukaryota; Metazoa; Chordata; Mammalia; Afrosoricida; Tenrecidae
Gene: U1
Rfam family: U1 spliceosomal RNA
About the family: U1 is a small nuclear RNA (snRNA) component of the spliceosome (involved in pre-mRNA splicing). Its 5' end forms complementary base pairs with the 5' splice junction, thus defining the 5' donor site of an intron.
Source: Ensembl
AUACUUACCUGGCAGGUGAGAUACCAUCAUCACAAAGGUGGUUUUCCCAGGGCGAGGCGCACCCAUUGCACUCCGCGUGUGCUGACCCCUGCGAUUUCCUCAAAUGUGGGAAACUCGACUGCAUAAUUUGUGGUAGUGGGGGACUGCGUUCGCGCUAUCCCCUG